AAUCCCUAAUUUCCCAUGGCGGACAAUCUUUUCUCAGUUGCUACUCUCCAACAAACACUCUGCACUCCCAUGGCUGAUGAGACCCCAAAAGCCACUCCACAGCCUCUCACUCCCUUCUUCGUCGUGAAUUAACUAAUAUUUAAUUUGGAGACGAAAAGAAAAAUAUCUUCGUUGCCUUUUGGCCUUACUUGAUCUGAUUUUUUGAUUCCUUUGCAAAUCAAAUUUCUAAGCUUUUGAUCUCUGCUUCAAACAGUUUGGAUCACAUGGUGUACAAGCUUUGAAAAGAUACAAAUACAGUGGUGUGGAUCACUCUUACCUUGCUAAAUAUGUAUUACAAACCUUUUGGAGCCGUUUUGUUAACUUCUUCCCUCUUUGGAUGCCGUAAGUUCUUUGGAUUUUUAUUAUUAUUUUAGUGCUUUGAAUAAUCAUAGUUUUCAUUUUGUUAGUGUUGUUUAUCUAUUUUGAAGCACUGGUUCCUAUAUACACUUGUUUUGACUGUUGCUAGUUAGUUGUGAUAUUGAUAGAGAGCUGAACCUUGAGAAAAGGGGGGGUUGAAAGUAAUAUUAUAUUUAAAUAGGGUUUAAAUUGAAUAUUUUAUAACUAGAAGGGAUUAAAGUUGGUAUUAGUCCAUUUAAUCAAGGGGAGCCAAGGCCCCCUUUGUGUGAAAGUAAUUUUGUCAUCUCUAUUUAUGCUUUGAAUAACCAUAGUUUUUAUUUGCUGCUUCAUUUUGUUAGUGUUGUUUACUUGUUUUGAAACACUGGUUCCUAUCUAUACCUAUUUGAGUUUUGCUAGUGGAUUGUGAUAUUUGAUAUAGAGCUGAACUUAGAAGAAGGGAAUGGAAUUAUCAAUGUGAAAGCAGAGGCGAAGCUAGAAAUUCGGUUUUGGGGGGUCAAAAUAAAAUUUUAAAAGUUUGGGGGUUGAAAGUAAACAUUAUAUUUGAAUAGGGUUUAAAUUGAAUAUUUUAUAACUGGAUGGGACUAAAGUUGCUAUUACUCCAUUUAAUCAAGGGGGGCCAAGGCCCCUGCCUUUCCCCUUAGUUACGCCCUUGUGUGAAAGUAUAAGUUUUAAACGCUAUAUCAUGCUUCAUUUGAGCUUUAAGUAUUUUCCUGUUUUUCAAUGAUAUUUGCCGGCACUAACAUAUUUAUGUUUCUAUAUGUGUUUGCUACUCGGCUGGUUGUUCUUUUUUGCAGACCAAACAUGGUAUGUAAUGCUUACUACUUCUAAAUUGUGAUUUUCUAUUAACAUACAAACUCGGACAUGCUUAUACAUGUAUAUGCAUGUUUACUAUUACACCUGAUUUAUUUGAUUACUAAAUUGGUAUGCUUUUGUUUCUUAAGAUAACACUUACAGGAUUUAUGUUCUUGGUUACCUCAGCAGUGCUUGGCUAUGAAAAAGACUUGAAAGUCAUAAGAGAAGCUAAGAUCCGAGAAGAGAUGUUAGACUAGGAAGCUUCACUUAGACGAGCAAGAGCAGAAGCAUCUCUUUUUGAUGGUAGCUCAUGGGGCAUGGGAGAGGAUGCUAUUGAAGAAGCAGAGGUUUGUAUUACUUAGAAACUAAUAUAAUACUAUUGGAAUUUUUUAAAAUAUUUUAUGUGAUCAAAAUUUUUUUUAAGAAAAAGACCAGAAUUCUUUCUCCCACAAUUUGGAUGAGUGCAAUGGCUCCCUGUUGUUUUCUUUUGGAUCCACUACAUUCCGUCAGCUAGCAAUCAGAUAAAUGUAAUUAAAUUUUCAAAAGGUCCUAAGAUUCGCCUCUGUGGUAGGCCUUUAUCACAUAUAGAGUAAUAAUUUUCUUUUGAAGGAUGAUGGACCAGAUGUUGAAGGAAAUACUAGCCAUAAAUUUGUCUCCAAGGGGUGGAGGUAUAACAGGAUUUGUAGCAAUUUGCUUGUGAAUUUUGAAUUCUACUGUCUAAUAUCUCGUAAAAUAUGAAGGUAUAAUGUGUCUCUGCCCUUUUCAGACCUUAUUUUGUUGCAAGAGGAUUAUUAUGACCCUAGCAUUUUACAUAUAUACAAUAAUUCGUAUUAUUUUUAAUGCACCUCUGAUGCCUUUGAACUUAGACCAGCUUGUGAAGCUGUGAUGCAGCAGUGUAUGUGAAUAAAUUUUCAUCACUUGCUUUCAGUGUAUGUGAAGCUAUGAUGCACCUCUCCCUACAUGUGUGGUUUGUACCUUUUAUCUUUCUUAUGAAUAAUGCAGGUUUAUAUUGCAGGAUAUAGUUUGGAAUGCCUUCAAUGAAACUUGCAGAGCAAAGAUGGUGCAGCAGAUUGCAUUGUAUUUUUUAUUACAUUACAAUGUGUAUAGUUAUAGGCAGGUUCAACUAGUCAGUCUGUUUCUCAUAUGUAUUAUUUAUUUUAGUUUUGAUUCUAAAUUUUUAUUUUUACUUUAAUAUUUACGACAACUUGAGUUCUAGCUUUUGGAUUUUAA
This is a long non-coding RNA of Gossypium raimondii (Peruvian cotton), 2418 nucleotides long. RefSeq lists it as uncharacterized. The transcript has 4 exons. NCBI's taxonomy places the organism in Eukaryota, Viridiplantae, Streptophyta, Magnoliopsida, Malvales, Malvaceae. The record is from RefSeq and is a predicted model, not a curated record.